GUCCUAACUGCUAAAUCUGAGGUAGGAAGACUUGGUUUCUUCUUUUUUAAUUGUUAGGUGUUUGUUUGCUGUCAGCCUAUUUAAUUAGUGGCCAGCAUUUACUUUUCAUUCUUUAGGUGUUGGAAUCCUGACCUGAGUAAACCAAAUUAGAGCAAGAAAUUUGUCCAUGUUGUGGCAUAUUGUUGGUUUCCUCUGCUCAAAAUUCUGCUUUUACAAACUGUGAAAGGAAAUUUUCUUGGAUUUGAAAUUGAACUUUAAACAUGCAUCAUUGGUGAGUUUAUGGGUGUUCAUGAGUAUGCCUUCUCAUACAUUCAACUGUGUUAGGGCAUUGAUUCUGACAUGUUGAUGCCAUAUAUCAAAUAUGAAAAGAUGACCAGGACUGAAUUUCUGUUGUCAUCAUGUACUAGAUUUUGUUUCUUAUCAUUAGAUCUUUUGUUGCAUGUAUUAUAGUUAUGAAUCAUCACCUCAACAAAACCUAAUACCUAUUCUUGGGCUUGCCCUGAAUUUUGUCAUGUACAAAAUGGUCAAAAGCACUUUCAUCAUGUCAUCAUUUUUUUCGUAUUCUCUCUUUGAAAUGGAAAAAUUUUUGGCCAGUUAACAUGCAACAUUUUCUUCUUUUAGUUUUCCAGUCUUUUAUCUAUGCCACAAAUUACUGAAACAUGUAGGAACUUUUCCAGCUCGUCUCCACAGAUUUAUUUUUGGUUUCACAAUUAAAUGAUCUUUGCAUUUUUACAGGUUGACUGCCAUGUGAAGAUAUUUCCCAAUGUCGCUCAUGGGUGGACAGUGAGAUAUGAUGUUGAAGAUGAAACUGCUGUGAAAAGCGCAGCGGAGGCCCAUGGAAACUUGUUGGAGUGGUUCACCAAGCAUGUUAAGUGAAACAAUAAAGACCAGUUAUAUUAUGUAGAACUGCUAGGCUAUUUAUCUUGGCAGUUAGAAAAGUACUGCAGUAUACGAUGCAUGUACAAUAAAAGGAUGAAUGUUUUUAUGGUGAUAAAUUAUGAGGAGGAAGAAAUUUGGACAAGCUUGUGUUAAGACUACAAAGUGGAUUGAUUGUGAUGCCUCUACUGAUAACUACAGAGUGGUGGCUUUCAUGGAUCAAAUACAAGUGUUAAGAGACCUUAAAAGGAAUUGCUGGGUGACCAAAAAACAUGGAUUCCCUUGCCUGGGGAUGAUUUAUGAUAAACCUGAAACUAACCUGC
This 1199-nucleotide unclassified non-coding RNA is filed under the name Hevea brasiliensis (rubber tree). The record is from RNAcentral. Lineage: Eukaryota; Viridiplantae; Streptophyta; Magnoliopsida; Malpighiales; Euphorbiaceae.